UUUAUUGGGAUGCAUGCAAAAGUGUAGCUCAAAACACACGGAGAAUCAUGUGAAGAAUGAAAAUGCUCCAUGGAGAAAUUUACUACAUGCUAGAAAGAACACAGCGACUUUGGUUACGAUCAUCAGCAAAGAUGAUUGAAGAGAAUUCUAGUGUUUGGGCAAGUUACAUCAAGGUGAGAACACCAACUGUUUAUCAUGAUCUAAUAUUGUGAAGUAUGGAAUUUGAGUAUUUCUGCUUGGACUUUGUAUCUGUUUUUAUAUAGUUUUAGAGGUUUAAUGGCUAUCCGCUUGCUGCUGUUUUGAGUAAAAAAUUCUUAAUAUUAAUAAAAUGCUGGGAGGUAAAUGACUAGGGUACAGGGCUUCUGUUUUUUAUGAAACACGUAUUUUUCUGUCCAUGACCAAUUUUUUAAUUCAAAAAAUAAAAAUAAAGUCCCCCUUGUGCCCGAGACACUUCCAGAUUCCAUUUAGGCAUUUAACAGCCAUUCUGUGGACCUUAUGUCAAUAAUUAAUUUCUUUUAAUAUGCAGUUCUUUUAGUAAGUUCACUUUUAGCUAAUAAUGAAGAUGAUACGCAGAUUCUUGCCCGAGUGCAUAGCAUAAAUUUUAAUUGGUCACUUCUUCAAUGAUGUAGACAUUAAAUCUGAGCUUGAACUUAGACCCUAGAUCAGUUUAUUAAAAUUUAAUGGGUAUAAGUUAAUAUCAUAAACGUGCAAGAAAAUAAAUAUUUGUAAUUAUAAUGAUGUCGAGUAUUAUUGGUGUCCGGAUAGCUUUUGGUGUUGAGUAUAAGGUUCUGUUUUAUGCUUCUUGGUAUACUUGUUUUUGACUGUGCUUGGAUCUAUAAUGAUCUCUUUCUUGUUUAUUUUGUGCGAUGAAAAUGAAUAGGCAGAGCUCAGUAUAGCACAAUUACAGUCUACACCUGUUUGACAUUUUGGAAAAUUAAAAGAAAUAUUUGGGAAGAAUCAAGCAACCAGGAGCCAUGGAGUUAAUCUUGAUGGAAGCGAAGCACAAGAAAAUGGGUCAAAGUGAAGUUUCAUCGUUGUUUAUAAAUGGAUCAUCCUCAACAUCAACGCAAGCAAAUAAAAAGAGCAAAACAAGAUUUGGUUAAUGUUAGUGAUGAUUUGACAUUGAUCCAAGGGAUGUGAUGUAGUUUUACAUGAAUGUAUCUAAAAGUGUCUUCGGAUUUGUAUAUACUUGGUUCAUUUAAAUGUAUUUGGUCAAGUUAAUUAGUAAUAUAAAAAGGCCCCGUACUAGUGUCAUUGUGGUGUGUGCAAGUGGAAUCAAAGUAAUUUGAAUGUUUUCG
Molecule: long non-coding RNA, 1298 nt
Filed under: Panax ginseng (ginseng)
Lineage: Eukaryota; Viridiplantae; Streptophyta; Magnoliopsida; Apiales; Araliaceae
Description: long non-coding RNA (PGIN_LNC016694)
Source: RNAcentral